UACGAAGGGUGCAAACGUUGCUCGGAAUUAUUGGGCGUAAAGCGCACGUAGGCGGCUUAGCAAGUCGGAUGUGAAAGCCCACGGCUCAACCGUGGAAGUGCAUCCGAAACUGCUGAGCUUGAGUACCAAAGAGGAUCGCGGAAUUCCCGGUGUAGAGGUGAAAUUCGUAGAUAUCGGGAGGAACACCAGUGGCGAAGGCGGCGAUCUGGGUGGUUACUGACGCUGAGGUGCGAAAGCGUGGGGAGCAAACAGG
RNAcentral lists this ribosomal RNA (253 nucleotides) under uncultured Haliangium sp. Its description in RNAcentral is "partial 16S ribosomal RNA". It matches the Rfam family "Bacterial small subunit ribosomal RNA", at positions 524 to 776 of the family's 1533-position model. Lineage: Bacteria; Pseudomonadati; Myxococcota; Haliangiales; Kofleriaceae. The record is from RNAcentral.